RNAcentral lists this non-coding RNA (69 nucleotides) under unclassified sequences. RNAcentral's name for it is "DUF3800-IX RNA". It matches the Rfam family "DUF3800-IX RNA". From Rfam's summary of the family: Actinobacteria, Firmicutes (1 example), Nitrospirae, Proteobacteria, Verrucomicrobia (1 example). Nearby to DUF3800 The record is from Rfam by way of RNAcentral.
UACCCAGGCUCGAACCGUCCCCGUAUGGGGUGCUUGCCAAGCAAUCGCUUGGAUAGGUCUGGGGAAGCG